Molecule: long non-coding RNA, 398 nt
Filed under: Equus caballus (horse)
Lineage: Eukaryota; Metazoa; Chordata; Mammalia; Perissodactyla; Equidae
Description: lncRNA (ENSECAG00000058650.1)
Source: RNAcentral
CUGAUCUCGAAGCCUUGGAACUUCUGCUCUAAACCAUGACCUACUUUGCUCUAGAGGUGGAAGUCACUAAGCGCUGAGGCAGUGCCUCCAAAGGACAGAAGCCGCAAAGGGUCUUGCUUCCAGCUCUUUGGGUAGCUAAGAAACAUCUUGCUCUCCACGGUGUUCUUACAGGGUACCAGAAACAUCUCUCACAAAGGCCUGUGAAACACAGCUUCUUUCCAGCCCUGAUCUCGCUGAGGUAGAACUUCUGCUCUGCCAUGUCCUACAUUGCCCUAGAGGUGCAAGGCACAAUGUCCUGCCUUGUUUCCUCAAAGGGAGACAGGCCACAAAGAUUCUUGCUUCCACAUCUUUGGGAAGCUAAGAAAAAACUCGCUCUCCAAAUUGCUCUUACAGCCUAC